CAUCGAUCAAAGAAAGAUAUCAGCCAAUAUAUUGAGGUUUUUUUCUCCCCAAUAUUGAUAUCUAUAUCGGCCCCAAAAAUCACACAUCAGUCGGGCCUAUUUUUAAUCUCAACAAGUUUUUUCCCUGGUUAAAAGAAGGUUGAAUCAAAUAAAAAAAAGAGCUCCCUAAUUGUCAGGAAGGUCCCAGGGAGUGAAACUUAUCUUUAAACUCACACUCCUCUUGGUUCACUUUGGGAGUUGAGACACCAUAUUCUUUUUUGUUUUACGCCAAGUCCCUGAAUUCAAUUUACUCAUACUGGAGCUGCUGUAUUGAAUGUAAUACGAGAAAGGUUUGAUUUUAAGGGAGGGCUUGAUUGCAUCCUGUUGCACAUGUGCAUGAACUGUCCGCUGAAGAAGGAAGUGUUUGGCAGAGUGUGCAAGUGGAAUACAGGAAGAACGGGGACAUCAUGUGGAGGUGCAGUAAGAACUUUUAAGGCAGUGAGACGAAGGAUUUAACAGGAUUUACAAUAUUACAAGAUUUUCACCCGUUAUGGAGGCAGGAAAAGAGACUCUGUACUUGAUGCAUGCUUGUUUUUGCAACCGUCGUAGUAACAGUACCAUUUUCAUAAGAUUGCACAGGUUUUUAAUAGGAACUUAAAAUGCAAAUGCAGUAGCUUUAAAUUGCUUACUUAAUUAAUAAGAAACUUCACAUCAGUCAGUCAGUCUGUGCUGCUUUCCUGCACCACACUCUAUAGUUGGAGUUUCUUUCUUUUAUCGCUGUUUAACUUUUUUUUCAUAAAAGUCACUCACUCCUUUUCCUUUUCUUCCUCAUGUCUUUGUCCACUCGUUCAAUCUUUUUCCAUCUCACACAGUCAGACACACUUUGUCCUGCCCUCUUUUCUUUGCCUCUGCCUCUCUGUGUGGCAGCGGGCAGGCUUGUUUCUGGCAAUCGUUGCAGCCUGGCACAGUGUGUCCCUGGCAGCGUGUGUGUGUCUCUGAGUGUGUGUGUGUGUGUGUGUGUGUGUGUGUGUGUGUGUGUGUGUGUGUGUGUGUGUGUGUGUGUGUGUGUGUGUGUGUGUGUGUGUGUGUGUGUGUGUGUGUGUGUGUAUGUCUGCUGUCUGCCAGUCCACCAGUCUCAAGUACCAGCUGGGCACCCAAACUCACAACCAAAAUAAACUGGCUGCACUAUCAAUGAGCCCAUGAGGUGCAGCGCGUGUGCAGGAGUGUGUUUAAGCUUGUGUUUGUGUGUACAUGCAUAUGUACUUGUGUCAGCGUGAGUGUGUGUGUGUGUGUGUGUGUGUGUGUGUGUGUGUGUCAAUCGGACACCCUGCUUAUUAAGUCUCAUUGAACCGAGUGGUGAAACAAACACAGUCCUUCCUCAGAUGAAUGCCUGAGAUGUUUCGCCCGUCUCAACUUUGCAUUACACUGAGGCCCUCCUUGCAAGGAUUAAAGACUAAAACAAUUACAAAGCCUUAUUUGCAAUUCAAAUUCUCCUAAAUGUAGACUUAAUCCCCAUUUUCCAAAGGCAGCAACACUGAGAGGCAGAAUAAAUGUGUGAGAGAGCCUCUGUCUGGGUUUCUGUUGCUAAAAUAACACUUAUAAGUUAUAGUAGGGGGGAUAAUGAAUGUGCUUUGAGCUGGUUCAGUUAUAUCAGGAGAACCGCUUGUUUCCGUUAAAAGUCUUUGUCAUGACGGGAUACACACAGAAUCAGCAGUGGAGACAUUGAUUUUUGUGCAGGAAGAUGUACGUCGAUUCUCUGUAAUAUUUGCAUUCAGUUUUAUUUGCAUGCGUGUAUUUUGAAUAUUCACACGUGUGCAUUAAGGCGUGCACUUGUCCUAAUGGAAGGGUCCGCAGUGAGCUAGUUUACUGCUGCCCAGGGUAUAUUUACAGACAGCGACUUUAAUGUGGUGUAAUGAUUAUUUUUAUUCCAGGUACUUCGACAGCCCGUUCGCUGUGAGUAGAAUGACUCCCCAUUGGCCCGCUGAUUACCUUUGAGGCUGCCACCACACCUGGCUCCUUCAAAUCUCCUCCUUCUCCACCAAUACAACUUCAGAACCAGCUCGUUUUAUUGCUGCUCCUUCAUCUGUUCGUCCCUCUCUCCCCUUUUCUCUUCCGGUUUAUUCUUUCACACAUCGUCUAAACUCAACACUACUCUAUAAAUAAGGUAAUUGGGUGGCAAUGUCACCACAAAAAGCACUUGUGAAACAUUUUUAAAACUACAAAAAGGAAUUGACAAAUUCAAUUUUUAAUCUGCAUUAUGAUGUUUGCAGAAAAUAAGGAGCAUGAAAAAGAUUAAGAUGCAAAUGUUAAUAGGGACAACCAACUGUCCACUCUGAAGUACUUCCUGUCUUCCUCUUCUCUUAUGAGUGUCUUGAGUCCACAUCUUCUUUAUUUUAUUUUCUUUCGUGAGAACAUCUUCCUUCCCGCUGUACAUUUUCACAAUCUUUCUUGUUUGUACAACACUCUUCUGUAUACCUUUUCUCUUAAAGACAGCGUACAAGUGGAAAGAUUGAUUUUUUAUGAAUAAUAAAGAGAAGUGGGCCAAAUGAGCUCGGCCAUUUAUAGUCACAUUCUGAGAGCGCUGUGUGAUGACAGCCUUGUUAUAAUUGUUCUGAAGUAAUGACUUUAAGUCCAGCAAGAGUUUCCGACGUAUUUUGGUUAAUGAUCUUUGUUCAACUGAGAAAAGGGCAGCAGUUUAGUUGCACAUCAUCCAUAACAAUUGAGACCAGAUUGCCGUUCCUAGCUUAUGAUCACUCAAACAUAAAUCGAGCUGUAGGAUUUUUACAUUACCCAGAUGAGUCUCUCGCCAGAUUUAGCUUUGGAACCCUGGGGCUAACCUUACUGUAAUCCCUCCAUUCAUCGCCCACGAGUCCACAGAUCCUGUUCAAGUCCAAAGUGGCCAAUGGCAUCAAGUGAGGAAUCUGUCCAUCAGUAAAGUCAGUCAGUCAUAGACACUUAAAGUACAGCAGCGUGAGGACAUUAGAGGGAAAACAUAAAAUGUUUAAUCCAAUUACAAUCUAGUUUCAACAAAUCAGUGAAUGAAGUUAUUGUGUUUUGUACUUCUAUCAGUGUUGCAUUGACUGCAGAAGCAUCCAGAGGAACUUCAUGGACUUUUACCCACACCCAAAUGCAACCUCAGGUCAUUUAACAGUGCACACAAGCAACCCGAGGGAUGACUUUGAGACUGUACUACUUGCUGAUUAAAUCAGUAUGUCAGGAAAAUGACACAAAUGAAGCAGGCGAGGCACUGAGUCUGGUUCUUCUUGAGGUUUCUAUUUUACCUCAUCCAAGAGUACAGUCAGCACCUGCUGCACAAGUUAAUAGACAUGAAAUAACUUUUGUUGUGAUUUGGCACAUUUCAAAUAAAAAAUGAUAAAUUGAUUGAUCGAUUGACACGAGUUAUAAAGCUGCCAACAUUAUCUCAGUUUAAAGUCAAAGAAAUAAAUAGUUUUUCAGCAUGUUGACACAGUGACAUUGCUGAGGAUUGACUUUGAUUUGACAUAUUAUCAAACAAUUAACUGCUAGCUCAACAAAUGAUUACUAACCCAGUAACCCUACAUUGAACCCUAUACCCAUAUUGAAUAUUAAAUUGUUACAGCACUGUAAUCAUUUUGCAUUCCAUUAUCAUUAUCACACUGCAUUAUCCAGAUGUUUGUAUACUGGUUACUAAGAGCUUAUCUGUUGCUUCUUUCAUAAAAACAAUAGAGUUAAAAAUAGAAGUGCACUAUAUAUUGAUAAACUUUUGUAUGUGCCUGUGUGUGUGCAAUCCUUCUUUCUCUGAGUGAGCGACACUGACCUAGCUGACCUAAAGGUCAUCCCCGGGUCAUAGGCUGCCCCUCUUCAAGGUUAAUUCAUCGGCGAGAGACAGAAAAUUAAAUAAAAUCCACUUUGUGUCCUUAGUCACAAGUGAUAAGUGUGAACUUCAACCUCAGCUCUGCUGUCAGGAUGAAAGCCUUCAGAUCAGUUAUUUAUAUCUCACAUGAUUAAGUUCACUGAAUAAAUAGGGCAGCACAUCUGUUUGGUUAUUUAGUGACUGUUUGGACAUAUUAAGGCCUCAGUGUUCAUGUAUCUAGAGAAAAGGAAAUCAGAGGGACUAGAAGUUACGUUGUAGGUGUGGACAUGUUUUCAUACUACAUGUAUUGUUUCUCUUUUAUGUCCUCUGUGUGCUGCCUGAUCUGUCUUUACUUUGUCAGAUAUUUUCUUUAAAAAGUGACAUUUGGAAUAGAGGGAUCCUCAGCACUGCGCUGCUCUCUGAAAAGGUCAGCUUUCACUGAAUGAGAGUGUUCGACUGGCCGACGCUCUGAGAGAGAAAAGAGAGAGAGCAGUUUCUACUUCAGGGUGAGAGAAGCUCCGUUUGGUUGGAUAUACUGUAGAUUCCUGUGUGUUGACUUGGUUUGGCUGAUCUGAGGCUCUUCCUCUCUGCUGCUCUCUUCUGUUCUGGACUGUUCUGCUGGAUGCUGUAAUCUCCUCAGUGCAUGGCCAGAUUACUGUCUGCUCCAUAUUGUCUGGUGGCGGGCUGCAGAACGGAGAGACGGCAGGAGGAGGGGAGAGAGGGAUGGGAUGGAGUCGGCUCUUAUUUGCAACUACAUGAGGAAGAUUACCUUUUUUAUUAAUGUAUCCAUCUGGACGUUUGCUAUAUUUGGUUGUUUGUCCAGUCUGUUUGUUUGUGUAUAAAAUUUAUGAGAUUUCAAUCAAGAGAUUAAAGACUUGUUAUUUCUCAAGGGUUGUAAACCAAAUGAUUAAAUAUAAGUCUGAUUAAAUAGUAUUAAAGUAUCUGUAGCAUUCCCUUUGUGACAGAUACUUAAAAUUCCCUGUACUAUUUAUCAAAAGCACCAUUUUUUAUUGAAGUAUUUUCAAAAAAGUAAAAAUAAAGAAAUUUCAGGAUCCAUUGUGGCCCCCUCCCCGCCACCCCCAUCCCUCCACGCGUCUUCCUCUCCAUCUCUUUCUGUCUCCUGUGCACUCUGCGCAGAAAUGAUUUCCAUUCCUGCUGAAUUAAUGAGGUUCUGCUGAACUGAGAAAAGGCAAAGGGAGUGUGUACACACAAACACGCACACACACACACACACACACACACACACACACACACACACACACACACAUACAUACAGAGGAAAUCAUGGAGACACUAUACACAGUCUCCAGCACAGAUUCUCUACUUCAGCCAUAUUUUAGUCUGUAUUCACACUCACUCGUGCACACAGUGAGUCACUGAAGCUUGGCCACUUUAUACGUUUCAUGGCACAAACAGUGUUUUAUUGUAAAGUAAAUAUGAGAAAAAAAAUCACAAAGUUACAGAGUUGGACAGCGACCAAAUUUAAGCUGAAACUGGUGCAACUUGUAUAUUUUCAAGAGUUGUUUUCAUGUUGUACACAGCACACACACACACACACACACACACACACACACACACACACACACACACACACACACACACACACACACAUGAACACAACA
This is a long non-coding RNA of Labrus mixtus (cuckoo wrasse), 5433 nucleotides long. RefSeq lists it as uncharacterized. The transcript is spliced from 2 exons. The record is from RefSeq and is a predicted model, not a curated record. NCBI's taxonomy places the organism in Eukaryota, Metazoa, Chordata, Actinopteri, Labriformes, Labridae.